AGGAGGAACAACCGCAGUGGCAGCGGCCAGCUCUGGAGCCCUGGAUUCAGCCCCCGCAGUAACUCCAGAGCUCUCCGUUUGCAGGGGCCUGGAUCCUCCGGGAGCGG
RNAcentral lists this microRNA precursor (107 nucleotides) under Canis lupus familiaris (dog). RNAcentral describes it as "mir-8834 microRNA precursor family". It matches the Rfam family "mir-8834 microRNA precursor family". Lineage: Eukaryota; Metazoa; Chordata; Mammalia; Carnivora; Canidae. The record is from Rfam by way of RNAcentral. RNAcentral also lists the same sequence under 1 other name.